Molecule: ribosomal RNA, 756 nt
Filed under: uncultured bacterium
Lineage: Bacteria
Description: bacterial SSU rRNA
Rfam family: Bacterial small subunit ribosomal RNA
Source: RNAcentral
AGAGUUUGAUCAUGGCUCAGAAUCAACGCUGGCGGCGUGCCUAACACAUGCAAGUCGAACGAGAAAGGGGCUUCGGCCCUGAGUAAAGUGGCGCACGGGUGAGUAACACGUGACUAACCUACCCUUGAGUGGGGGAUAGCCGAGGGAAACCUUGAUUAAUACCGCAUAAUACCUACGGGUCAAAGGAGCAAUUCGCUUAAGGAGGGGGUCGCGGCCGAUUAGUUAGUUGGCGGGGUAAUGGCCCACCAAGACAGUGAUCGGUAUCCGGCCUGAGAGGGCGCACGGACACACUGGAACUGAAACACGGUCCAGACUCCUACGGGAGGCAGCAGUGGGGAAUUUUGCGCAAUGGGGGAAACCCUGACGCAGCAACGCCGCGUGGAGGAUGAAGUCUCUUGGGACGUAAACUCCUUUCGAUCGGGACGAUAAUGACGGUACCGAGAGAAGAAGCCCCGGCUAACUUCGUGCCAGCAGCCGCGGUAAUACGAGGGGGGCGAGCGUUGUUCGGAAUUAUUGGGCGUAAAGGGUGCGUAGGCGGUUCGGCAAGUCUUGUGUGAAAUCUUCGGGCUCAACUCGAAGUCUGCACUAGAAACUGCCGGGCUUGAGUGUGGGAGAGGUGAGUGGAAUUUCCGGUGUAGCGGUGAAAUGCGUAGAUAUCGGAAGGAACACCUGUGGCGAAAGCGGCUCACUGGACCACAACUGACGCUGAGGCACGAAAGCUAGGGGAGCAAACAGGAUUAGAUACCCUAGUAGUCC